Molecule: long non-coding RNA, 4954 nt
Filed under: Gallus gallus (chicken)
Lineage: Eukaryota; Metazoa; Chordata; Aves; Galliformes; Phasianidae
Source: RNAcentral
CAAAUUCUUUAUUGAGUAUUUCUUUCAAGACAGAAAUAUAAAAGCACAUCAGAUGUUUCCUCUUAAACUUUGGUUUGCAGAAUUAAGGCACUCUGAAGAUGUUUUUUCUUACUCCAUGAGUAAUUGUUUUCCAACUUUCUUUAACAAAGUAAACAAUUUUUAUGAGUACAAAAUUAGAGUUAGGGAAAUGAUAUAAUUUACAGACAACUCCACAUUAGGACGAGACAUCAGCAAGGCAUGAUUUGAUAUAAAAGUUUUUAGACCUAAUCUUGUCUUUGUGACACCAUUUUUCAUGUAGAGUUAAUUGUUUGCAUUCAGUUUAUUUAUCCAUUUAACAACCAAAAGACAUAUUUAGGGAAAACUGGGAAAACGCUUCAGAAUCUCAAUAUGUGUGUUGGUACAGCAUACCUUUAGCGGGAAUGAUUUUUCAUAUAAAUAAAGUUCAAUGUGGUCUCAAAUACAUUUUAGGAAGAUCAUAACAUUUUUUUCCCCUUACUAAGAGCUUCCAUUAGCCACAUUUACCAUAUGACAUUUGGAUAUGCAAUGUAGAACAAAAAGAGAUACACUGAAUAUAAGGCUUAUUUCUUUGUUUAGAAAAGGUAAUGUUAUCCAUUUCACUAUGACAUUAAAAGCAUGAUGAAAUCUGACUUAGAAAGGACAUACAAUUCUACUGAAACAAAAGUGCUACAUUAACACUCAUAUUUCCUUACAAUACUCAUUCUAAAAGUCACCUGAGGUGAUUUUUUUCUCUAGAAAUGAUCUGAUUUCAUUUAUAUUUCUUAUUUAGUGGAAAUAAAAAUAAUUAAAAAUAUACAUUCUGCAUUGUUCCCUGCUGUUUUUGAAUCCAAUCCUGCAAACAUUUACUAACCAAUUUAAGAGGGAAUCCUGAUCCUACAGAAGCUGGAGGAAGUUUUCCUUGCGCCUUCAGCAGUUCCAGGAUUCCUCCUUGCAUAAUGCUUACUGUUAAGAGCAUUUAUAGCACCUCCAAUGGAAUACCCCUAGUGAGCAUUAUGCCAUUAGUAAUCAUCUGCAUUUUCACAUCUUUUUGUGGAUUCAUGGUUCAGUUUACAUUGUUAUACAAAACACAUUUUUUUCUAAUAUUCUUUUCUUUUUUUUCUUAAAAAAAAACAAAAAACAAACAAAAAAAAACCCACAUUUUCUCUUUCUCUCAAAGACCACGCUGUUUUCUUGUAAUUCUGUGGAUUCUAUCUUGAAAAGCUUUUAAGAAUAAGCUAGUCUUGUCCUCCUUCUUGCUGAUCCCCCUUGUGUCCUCUUGUUUGCUUGUACUUUCCGUACAGGUGCUUCUUCCAAAUGGACUUUCUUGAUUUCUCUCUCGAUAAUCUGUGGUUCUCCCUCAAUUACUUUAGUAACCUUGGUGUACUCAGUUCCAGCUCCCUGCAGAAGUCUUUUGAUUUCUUCAUCUUCAAGUAAAUGAGCAUCACCUUCAAUAAAUUUGGUCACCUUGGUAACCUCUUCCUCAAGCAAUCUCUUUAAAUUUUCUUCAUUGUCUGUACCACCUGCAGUAAUUCUGGUGUAUUUUAUUUCUGGACCUUGAAUAAUUCUUUCUUCUGUUACUUUUUUCUCUGUCACUUCCACAGGUCGCCCAUCAAUGAUUUUGGUGUACGUUUUAAUAAUUGGUUCUCCAUGAAUCACUUUAGUUAUUGUCUCCCCCUCCCUGACUAUUUUGAACUCAGGUUCUCCUUCAAUUAUUUUAGUGAGCUGUGUAAUAGAUGGGUCUUCCUUUCUGAUGAUAGGCUGUACGUUGCUUUCAAUUAUGUUAAUUUUGUAAAACGUCAGUGGAAUCUCUUUGAAGGUACUGUCACGAACAAACUUGAUUUGAAUAUACUUGAUCAGCUUCUUCAGGAUUGUGAGCAACUGAUCGUUUCCAACAGGCAGAUCUGCUGGAUAUAGGAGUUUAUCAAUAACAUGAAUUACACCAUUGGUUGCCAUGAGAUCAGGUUCUCUUGACUUCAGGUCAUUAACUAGAAGAGUAUCAUUCACUGUUUUCAAGUACAGUUUUCCUCCUUGGAUAGUUUUAAGGAUAUUUGUCACACCAGGCUCAAAGCCACUUCCAAUGAAAACUCCUUGUGUCAGGUGGUAAAGAAGAAUGUUCCUGAGAGCAUUUUUGUCUCUUAUCAGUACAGCCUUAUCGUCAUCGGUCAAACCUUUAAAAGCAUCAUUAGUUGGAACAAACAGAGUCCAUGCUCCAGGCCGUGACAGAACAUCAUCUAAAUCUGCAGCUUUCACCAGACUGAGGAAAACACUAAAACGCUUAUCAUUUCUCAGCAUUUCAUGCAAAGAUUUUUCUGCUGGCUUGAUGAUUUGUCUGAAGACGUGAAUAAAACCAUUCCUUCCUUCUUUACUUCCUCUGACCAUGCAUGAAUUUUCAACACAUACAGCAGUGCGAUACACAAAGACUCUUAGCAGUUUUCCACCGAUUGUCUCCAGCUCUUGUCCAUUGUAUAGUUCAUUGAGCCCAAUUUUCACUUUUAUAAUGUGAUUCUGCAGGAUUGUUUUAAGAAGCCGUUGAUCCAUCUGUAAAGUGUCAUCUGAGAAAGCACGAUUCUGUGGUACCAGGAGAGUGUAUUGGCCUUCUGGUCUUAGAGAAGAUGCUAGUCCUAGCUGUGUCACCAGGUCUGUAAAAGUAGUCUGCUGGGCACCUCCAAGCUCAAUGACUUGCUUGGCAGAAUCAGGAAUUAGCACUCUAUCAAUGAGGUGGAUAACACCAUUGCUCGUCACAAUAUCUUUGCGUUUCACCAUCUUUACUCCAUUCACAGUAAGAGUUUCACCAUCACAGCCAACUUCAAGUGUGUUUCCUUCCAAAGUUUCAUAGACAGCUCCACCCAUGAUCGCUUCAGAGCACUGAAGAGUAUUUAAAAUAUGGAACUUCACAAGAGCUUCAGAAGCUACCUUGUCACCCAUGAUUCUUUCUAAGAUUCCUCUUGGAAGACGCUCAAAAGCUUCAUUAGUAGGAGCAAAGAGUGUGUAAUAACCAGGCCUUCCAAGAGUAUCUAAGACGUCUGACGUGAUGGCAGCAGCUCUGAGAGAUGAAAGGUCAUCCUCAACUUCAAUGAAAUCUUGAAUGGUAUUUCCAACAGCAGUUAGGACACGGUCAAUUACAUGAACAACACCAUUGGUAGCAAUCUGGUUGCCAUGGAUUAUCCUUGCACAGUUAACAGUAACAACCCCAUUAGGAUAAUGGUUAAUAAGCAAUUUCUGGCCAUUAUACAUGGACACCAGUGUCAUGCCAUUCUUAAGAUCUUUUGUCAACAUGCGCUUGUUUACCAUGUGGUGGUGGAGAGCAUUAUAUAGUUCAAUAUUUACAUUGUCAAUUAAAUUCCUGUGAAUUUCCGAACUUAAUUGCUCCCAGGCUUCAUUACUUGGUGCAAAGAAAGUGAAUGAACCUCUUCCCUCAAUCUCUUCUCUCAGCUUUGACAUGUCAGAAUACUGCUGAGUGGAGGUAGCUCCCACAAUACCAAGAGUGCCAUAUACAUGAUCAAUAGGAGCAACUGCAGGACAUCCUCUCAUACCAUCCAUCUUCAUGUAGCCAGGACAGCACUCAUAUAAGACAGUUGCUUUCUUUCCACAGAUGGAUCCCUGGUACCAGUUUCUGCAGGUGCUGAAGUAUUUCUUUUUGGUUCCCAUAACUUGCUGAAGGGCACAGACAUUUGGGCCUUGGUCGCGUGCCCUUAUUCGACUAUGAGUUAAAAUCUUGUCAUAGUGAGCAGAUGCGGCUGCUUGUUCAAAAGCAGACAAGAAAAACGUGGAAAAGGUGAAUAAUAAAAAGAUCUUCAUCUCUAGUCCUCUGUCGCUUCUGGCAAGUCUAGAAGAGAGAACUGGCAGAGGCUCUGGAGGGCCGACAAUUUAUAUACAUGCUGGAAGGUAGUGGGAGGGAACCAGGGAAUCAACCUGAAACUUUGUACCACCCUCCUUGGAGUAGCAGCUUUGGCUGCCAACUUCAGUAACCUAAAUUAAUAUCAUACAUUCACCGUAUGAGCAGUUCUUUUUUUAUCCCUGAUUGACUAAUUUCUUCCUCAUUACAGAAGGCUUAGCAUUUUAUUCUGCUGACACAACAGCAGAAGUUUGGGAAGUUUAGACUUUGAGUUAUGAUUUAGUAUUUAUAGCACUGAAGCUUCCAGAAGUUGGGAUCACUGUGUGGCUCUAUUCAAACCCAGAUGAAGUUUCUUCCUGCUGCUUUCUUCUGUUUUCUGUGUCCUUAUAGUUAUCAGUUCUGAACUGUUUAACUAGUGAAGUUGAUGAAAGUUCCAGUCAACAAUCUGUUGUCAAUACUCUUGUCAAACAACACCUAUGUCUUCAGAAAAAAAAAAAAAAAAGCUAUGUUAAUACAUAUACUGAUUAUGAAGCAGUUAUACAAUCAAACAUACUAUUUAAAUAUGUAUUUUAAUUCUAAUAGUAACAUUUAUUAUUGCAAAAUGCUUUUAGUUGGAACCUCAUGUAGUCUCAUAGAAUUCAGAGUAGCUGAAAAUUUGAAGAAAUACUUACUUAUACCCAAUAGUUGGUUGUUGGGAGCCUCUAGUGAAACAAAUGGAAAAUGUAAUGCUGAGCUAUAAAUGAGGGAAAUGAGGCAGAAAGAUGAAGUGCUGAAGACAGGCUGAAACACUCAGCAAAGGGGAGGUCUUAAGGAACAGUCAGUGUUUGGACUGCAGUCCAUGAGUUUAUGAUUUUAAUGUAGAGGAAAAAGUCUGCAAUUGUAUAAAAGGGUUCACAUAUGAAUUCAAAUUCAAGGUAUAGUUUGUCAUUUCAGACCUGUAUGAAGAUAUGUCAGUUUUAAUGACAGAACUUUGCUGUAGAUUAUUCCUCCAAAACAGGGAAAAUAAUAAUAUGGAUAACUGGAAAUCGAUGAAACGUUGGACUGACAUAGCUGGGGGAACCUCUCAUUACAGAGCAUAGACAAAUGGAACAAAGAGCAGAGGCUGGAGACACUGGCUAUUUA